Tyto alba (common barn owl) is the source of this 581-nucleotide long non-coding RNA. RefSeq lists it as uncharacterized. Lineage: Eukaryota; Metazoa; Chordata; Aves; Strigiformes; Tytonidae. The record is from RefSeq and is a predicted model, not a curated record. The transcript has 6 exons.
GUUUACUCAGACUUGCAUUGUUUCAUCUCUGUCUUCUCUGCUGAGACUGUGGUUGUUCAUGGAAUGCUCAUGGUGUUGGGCAAUCCUGGAAUCGGGGACCUCAAGUCACAUUCCAUCCUCUAGUUUCCCUGAAAACAUUUAUCUAAACAUUGAAGUUACUGGAUAUACAAUCUGACAAAGUAACCAUAUAUAAACUUCUCAUGGAGAUCAGCUUGGACGUCGUGGCAGAAAUCUCAUUUAAGACAACUGGAAAUUACUUCACCUUGGCCCAAAUCACAGCACAACAGCCACCUGCUCCUCCUCCAGCCCUGCUAGCCUUCAGAAGGAAUCCACAGGUCCCUGAGCAUCCUUCUACCCCAGACUGGAAACCACAGCCACCAAGCAGUUUAACGUUCUGUGAGAUCUUGGAGGAUCUUCCCCGCCAAAGCCCACAUCAUGGCUUCGCUGAGCCGAGGUGAAGACUUUUUCUCUCCCCAGACUCUGCUACCUCUCAGUUGCCUUGUCUGUGCCUGCAGCUGCUACUUCAGGGAAGUAGGAAAGAACCUUCUUUCAAGAGACUGGAACAGCCGAAAACAACGUGA